UUCAUUUUUGCGUCUUUUACUUUUGGUUUUGUACACCCGUUUCAAAUGGCUGAAAAUACAAUAUUUUGGGCAAUGGAAAAUAUAUUUCACAGCGGUUUAGAUGGUACAAUGAUUCUCUACAGUAUACUUGGUUGUUUUGUCACAUUAACUGAAAUAGGCGAUCUAUUAGAAUUUGUUUUACCAAUGGACACAAAACAGCUUAGUUUCAGUUUUUUUUAAGGAUGGUCCAGUCUCUAGCAGCGGGAGAAUUGAAAAUCAGUUUCACCAAAGAAACUGAGUGACGUGAGGAUUGCCAGGUGUGCAGCUAUCUCCUGUCGUUGCUGUGGGGAUCCAGCUGAUCUUAUCACCUGAACCGCGGCCCUCUUCUGUCACUGACAUGGGGGUCCGGACGUCUGCUGUUCUGAGAUCUUAGCCCGCCACUGCAGUAGAGAUCUAGCCAACCUUAGCUCCUGUCCUGGGUCCGCUCCUGUCGCUGAUGGGGCGGCCUCGCCGUCUUCACUCCAUAGGCCCUCUUCGAGCUCUGCUGCUGCGGCCAUGCGGUCUCCAGGCCUUCAUUGAGACCUGCGGCUGAUCCUCCGCCGCCUGCCAUGCUGAGACCUUCUGAUCCGGGGCCUUCACCUGGUCCCUCUGCCUGGGUCCGGUCUGUCCUUCAGCCACCGCCCGUUGCUGCUUCGUGGGUCCAGCCACCAAAGUAUCAUGACCCAGGGACCGAUCUCUGCCACUGCGGCCAUGAUGUCUCCAGUCCUGGUGUACCCAUCUGACACCACUAUGUAUCACAAACUGUUUAAACACACACACACACACACACACACACACACACACACACACACACACACACACACACACACACACAUAUAUAUAUAUAGCGUGAUUGAAAGAAAUCAUGUAUGUUCUUUCAACUAUGGUUGACUAUAUUACUUAUAUGACCUCAGCUUUCUACUCAUUAUUCCUUAUUAAUUAAACAAACAUGUAUGCUUCAAUUGAUUGAAAUAACUGGACACUGCAUCCUGUUGGUCUCCUGACUCCUGCUCCUUACCUGGGGAUCUUACAAGCCCUCAAUGCUAAGGGUCCUCCUGUUGGC
RNAcentral lists this long non-coding RNA (1081 nucleotides) under Salmo salar (Atlantic salmon). RNAcentral's name for it is "lncRNA (ENSSSAG00000101311.1)". The record is from RNAcentral. Lineage: Eukaryota; Metazoa; Chordata; Actinopteri; Salmoniformes; Salmonidae.